Long non-coding RNA from Piliocolobus tephrosceles (Ugandan red Colobus), 1748 nucleotides. Lineage: Eukaryota; Metazoa; Chordata; Mammalia; Primates; Cercopithecidae. The record is from Ensembl.
AAUAACAAAAAAACGUCCUCUAGAAAAAGAACCGUAAGUAAAAAAGAUUGUAAAAAAUAUAAAUAUACGUAUAUAUAUUUACAUAUGUGUUUUUAAAUAGACAAAAGUUAUAUUUAUAUAUAUGUGCAUAUAUAUUUUUUUUUUAAGUUAAUAACUAUUCCUGAGUUCAAAAAAUUAAAAAAAAAAAAUGAGCUAAAUAUAUUUUCAAGUCCAAAUAAAAUAAAUGAAGAGUUAAAUAAAGAACAUAAUUUUUCUGAUUCUGUUCUAAGUUCUUAUAAAUUAUUUUUAACUGAAAAGCAAUAUGAAAAUAAAAUAGAAAAAGAACAGGUAUGCCUUUUUCUUAUAACUUUCAUUUUUCUUUUUUUUUUGCAUGAUAUCUUACCUAAAUUUAUAACUACAUAUGUACUUUAUAUAUAUAUAUUGACAUACUAUAAAACGUCCAUAAACACGGUUACAUAUAAAAAUACAGCAAACAAAUAAACAAUACUAAAUAAUUUUUUCUUUUGCUUGUAAUAUCAUUUUUUUUACAGAUAAAUGAUGAUAUUUAUUCUGACAUACAAAGUAAUUAUAUAUAUAUAUUUUUUUUUUUUUACAUCAAGUGCAGUCUUAUAAGUCUAAAUUUAAAUGGUUUUUAUUAUUUAUACCAUGUAUAGCUUGUUUAUUCUACUUUAUUUAAUUUAUAUAUAUAGAUAUAUCAAAAGAAAAGUCCGAUAUAGAAACAGAACUAAAUCUAAAUAAAAUUGACAGUGUACCUUUGAUAAACUCUAAAUCAAAUAAGAGCUUUAUUGACAGCCAUAAAAAGGCGUUAGAAAAUUUCCAAAAGGAUGAUGCAAAUUUUGAAUGUACAUAUAAUUGUAAAAGCGAAAAAGGACAAAAAAAUUCAAACUUAAGUACAAAAAUUAAUGAUUUAAAUAUUCAAGAAUGUCAACUGGUGAGCACAUGUAAUUAUCGUUUAUUUCAAAAUGUAUUAAAAACGAAACUACAAUUAAUUUUGUACAUAUAUAUAUAUAUAUAUAUAUAUACAUACUUGUGCAUGUUAAAACCAACAUUUUAUUUAAUACAUCACUUAAUUUAAACUGCCUAAUACUUUAAUUUAUGUAUUUUUUAUUAAUUCUCUUAGUGCUUAAUGCCUAAUACGGAAUCGUUACAUGGAAAUUUCCCUCCUCUCUUUUAUAAACUAAGUUGUGGUAUGUUUAUAAUUUUAACAAUGUAUUUUCUCGCAUUUACAUACACAUUAAGAGUAAAAAUAUUCUUAAUCUUUACCAAAUAUUAAUCAUAAUUUAAUCCGUAUUUACUCCUAUAUGAGUUUUAUCUGAACCCUAUUUAAAUUAUAUUUGAAACAUAUUUGAACCCUAACUCAACCCUAAUUAAACCCUAACUAAGCCCUAAUUAAACCCUAACUCAACCCUAUCUCAACCCUAACUCAACCCUAACUCAACCCUAACUCAACCCUAGCUCAACCCUAACUCAACCCUAACUCAACCCUAGCUCAACCCUAGCUCAACCCUAACUCAACCCUAACCCAACCCUAACUAAACUCUAACUAAACCCUAACUUAACCUUAUUAAAUAACAUUUAUAUUUGUUUUUUUUUGUUUGUUCAGAUCAUGUUUUUCAUUUAAUGUGCAUCUAUGAAACUGUUAUACGAAGGGAAUGUAGAAAGGUAUUUAAAAAAAAAAAAUUAUGAAAAUAGUAAUAACAAUUAAAAAAAUUAAUGUUUUUAUUUUCCGCAUAUCUAUUUAUAAGCAC